CCCUUAGAUGUCCUGGGCCGCACGCGCGUUACACUGAUGCAUUCAACGAGCUUAUAACCUUGGCCGAGAGGCCUGGGCAAUCUUGUUAACGUGCAUCGUGAUAGGGAUAGAUUAUUGAAAUUAUUAAUCUUGAACGAGGAAUUCCUAGUAAACGCAGAUCAUCAAUCUGCAUUGAUUACGUCCCUGCCCUUUGUACACACCACCCGUCGCACCUACCGAUUGGAUGGUCCGGUGAAGCCUCGGGAUUGUGGUUCUUGCCGCUUUAUUGUGGCGUGACCGCGAGAACUUGUCUAAACCUUAUCAUCUAGAGGAAGGUGAAGUCGUAACA
Molecule: ribosomal RNA, 328 nt
Filed under: uncultured eukaryote
Lineage: Eukaryota
Description: partial 18S ribosomal RNA
Rfam family: Eukaryotic small subunit ribosomal RNA
Source: RNAcentral